This 236-nucleotide long non-coding RNA is filed under the name Elaeis guineensis (African oil palm). Its description in RNAcentral is "long non-coding RNA (EGUI_LNC077325)". Lineage: Eukaryota; Viridiplantae; Streptophyta; Magnoliopsida; Arecales; Arecaceae. The record is from RNAcentral.
GGAGAGUGCAUAAUUUCUUGAGCAAUCAGUAGAUUUUAGAUGAUAUUACGAUUUGACACAAACGCAUCCUGUUCCUUAGAUAUGAGAUAUGGCAAAAAUUUUUAAGCCGGUCAACUAGAAUCUUCGUAAUAAUCUUAUACACAGUGGUACAUAAAUUAAUGAAAUGAUAAUCACUCAGAACCUGAAGAUUAUAUUAGUCUUUUUUUGGGGAUCAAAAUAAUAAAAAUUUUGGUCCA